UUUGUUACUUCAAACCAAUCGGACUUCGGUCUGACAUCAAGUGAUAUUGAACAAUUUAGCUGAUCGCACGGUCUAAGAACCGGCGACAUAUCCUUCAAAUGUCUGCCUUAUCAACUUUCGAUGGUAGAUUAUGCGCCUACCAUGGUUGUAACGGGUAACGGAGAAUCAGGGUUUGAUUCCGGAGAGGGAGCCUGAGAAACGGCUACCACAUCCAAGGAAGGCAGCAGGCACGCAAAUUACCCACUCCCGGCACGGGGAGGUAGUGACGAAAAAUAACAAGCUGGUCUCAAUGAGUUCCAGCAUUGUAAUGGGAACAAUUUAAAUCUUUUAUCGAGGAUCUAUUGGAGGGCAAGUCUGGUGCCAGCAGCCGCGGUAAUUCCAGCUCCAAUAGCGUAUAUUAACGUUGUUGCGGUUAAAAAGCUCGUAGUUGGAUCUAGGAUUAGGGCUACGGUCGUUCAGCUUGGACGUACUGUAUGCCCGACUCCUUUUCUCUAGUAUUCGAUUGUUGCUCUUAAAUGAGUGACUUUAGUUGCUGGAACUUUUACCUUGAAAAAAUUGAAGUGCUCAAAGCAGGUU
Molecule: ribosomal RNA, 576 nt
Filed under: uncultured eukaryote
Lineage: Eukaryota
Description: SSU rRNA
Rfam family: Eukaryotic small subunit ribosomal RNA
Source: RNAcentral